This 1185-nucleotide ribosomal RNA is filed under the name metagenome. RNAcentral describes it as "bacterial LSU rRNA". It matches the Rfam family "Bacterial large subunit ribosomal RNA", at positions 810 to 1977 of the family's 2925-position model. The record is from RNAcentral.
UGUGGCUGGGGGUGAAAGGCCAAUCAAACCGGGAGAUAGCUGGUUCUCCCCGAAAGCUAUUUAGGUAGCGCCUCGUGAAUUCAUCUUCGGGGGUAGAGCACUGUUUCGGCUAGGGGGUCAUCCCGACUUACCAACCCGAUGCAAACUACGAAUACCGAAGAAUGUUAUCACGGGAGACACACGGCGGGUGCUAACGUCCGUCGUGAAGAGGGAAACAACCCAGACCGCCAGCUAAGGUCCCAAAGUCAUGGUUAAGUGGGAAACGAUGUGGGAAGGCACAGACAGCCAGGAUGUUGGCUUAGAAGCAGCCAUCAUUUAAAGAAAGCGUAAUAGCUCACUGGUCGAGUCGGCCUGCGCGGAAGAUGUAACGGGGCUAAACCAUGCACCGAAGCUGCGGCAGCGACACUAUGUGUUGUUGGGUAGGGGAGCGUUCUGUAAGCCUGCGAAGGUGACCUGUGAGGGUUGCUGGAGGUAUCAGAAGUGCGAAUGCUGACAUAAGUAACGAUAAAGCGGGUGAAAAGCCCGCUCGCCGGAAGACCAAGGGUUCCUGUCCAACGUUAAUCGGGGCAGGGUGAGUCGACCCCUAAGGCGAGGCCGAAAGGCGUAGUCGAUGGGAAACAGGUUAAUAUUCCUGUACUUGGUGUUACUGCGAAGGGGGGACGGAGAAGGCUAUGUUAGCCGGGCGACGGUUGUCCCGGUUUAAGCAUGUAGGCUGGUUAUCCAGGCAAAUCCGGAUAAUCAAGGCUGAGGUGUGAUGACGAGGCACUACGGUGCUGAAGUAACAAAUGCCCUGCUUCCAGGAAAAGCCUCUAAGCAUCAGGUAACAUCAAAUCGUACCCCAAACCGACACAGGUGGUCAGGUAGAGAAUACCAAGGCGCUUGAGAGAACUCGGGUGAAGGAACUAGGCAAAAUGGUGCCGUAACUUCGGGAGAAGGCACGCUGGUGUGUAGGUGAAGUCCCUGCGGAUGGAGCUGAGACCAGUCGAAGAUACCAGCUGGCUGCAACUGUUUAUUAAAAACACAGCACUGUGCAAACACGAAAGUGGACGUAUACGGUGUGACGCCUGCCCGGUGCCGGAAGGUUAAUUGAUGGGGUUAUCCGUAAGGAGAAGCUCUUGAUCGAAGCCCCGGUAAACGGCGGCCGUAACUAUAACGGUCCUAAGGUAGCGAAAUUCCUUGUCGGGU